CCUACGGGUGGCUGCAGUGAGGAAUAUUGGUCAAUGGACGAGAGUCUGAACCAGCCAAGUCGCGUGAAGGAAGACGGCCCUACGGGUUGUAAACUUCUUUUGUAAGGGAAUAAAUAGUCUUACGCGCUAAGACGUUGCAGGUACCUUACGAAUAAGGAUCGGCUAACUCCGUGCCAGCAGCCGCGGUAAUACGGAGGAUCCGAGCGUUAUCCGGAUUUAUUGGGUUUAAAGGGUGCGCAGGCGGCAUGUUAAGUCGGCGGUGAAAUUUUGCAGCUCAACUGUAAAAGAGCCUUCGAAACUGGCAAGCUUGAGUGUGGAUGAAGUAGGCGGAAUUUGUGGUGUAGCGGUGAAAUGCAUAGAUAUCACAAAGAACACCGAUUGCGCAGGCAGCUUACUAAACCAUAACUGACGCUCAUGCACGAAGGCGUGGGGAUCAAACAGGAUUAGAUACCCCAGUAGUC
RNAcentral lists this ribosomal RNA (461 nucleotides) under uncultured Porphyromonadaceae bacterium. RNAcentral describes it as "bacterial SSU rRNA". It matches the Rfam family "Bacterial small subunit ribosomal RNA", at positions 338 to 795 of the family's 1533-position model. The record is from RNAcentral. Lineage: Bacteria; Pseudomonadati; Bacteroidota; Bacteroidia; Bacteroidales; Porphyromonadaceae.